RNAcentral lists this long non-coding RNA (998 nucleotides) under Gallus gallus (chicken). RNAcentral's name for it is "long non-coding RNA NONGGAT003198". The record is from RNAcentral. Lineage: Eukaryota; Metazoa; Chordata; Aves; Galliformes; Phasianidae.
UUCAGGUUUGAAAGUAUACUGUAGCUGAACAUGAAGCAAACAAGAUCAGGAAACGAACAGAUUCAUUCUAGUGUUUGUAUAGAUAAAAGUCUGUGCAGUUUUGCAGAAGAAGAAGAAUGUAGACAAUGGCUUAAUUCACCUUAAUUCUUGAUACAUGGGAACACACUAGACCUCUGGAAACACUAGCAACUAACUGUAGCCAGAUGGUUAAAUUUUCCUGCACUAAUACAAAAUACUGAUGUGAACUUGUCUGAUGCAAAUUAAUACAAUGAAUGUAUGCCUUGUGAUGUCUGUGAUGGUGUGCUACCCGCCCCCUUUUCUACCUUUCCAUUGCUUUACUCAGGAUGAACAGUGCACCAAAGACCUUGCUCAGGAACAUAGUGACUGUGGUAUUGGUUCACCUCAGGCCUUGCUCAGGCAGAUAGUGACCACAGUACUGGCUCAGCCUGGUUGCUGGAGGAACUGAUGGACAGACAUCUUGUUCAACAGCUGAGGGAAAAUUGAGUAUGUGCCAGAAAACAUGACUAUGGGUCGACCAUCUUACCCUGAGUGAUGUGUGUAAUGCCAUCAGCCACAACGUCAUAGUCUUUCACAGGACAAAAGAAGACUAAAAAUGGAAAGAAAGAGAAGGGACAAGCCAGCCUAUCUAGAAAAUAUAGCCGCCAAGGAAAGCUGUGCCAGGGAAGAGGAACACACUGUUACCAAAGUCCAGUUCACAAUGGGUUCAUUCCUUCUGCCAUUUACACAAAGCCACAGCUGAUCAGACUGAAACAUUCCUCUUGCUGGCUCCUAUUCUUCCUUCAUUUUAUUAAUAACCUGGCAACAGGAUAGGGGCUAAGAAAAGAGACCUUCUAGAAUGGAGAAUUUACUGAAGAAACCAGAAGUGAAAGGUAGGUAUGGGAGUUUGAAGUCACAUUUAUUAGGUGACAUAGUUCCUUUAGAGAACGAGAAAAGGACUUUAGGCAUGAGCACAACCCAUCAGGAAAAUCCAUGGUGAC